CAUUUACCGAGAUUAAUAUCACGUGAUAUAAAACAUUUACCGAGAUUAAUAUCACGUGAUAUAAUACAUUUACCGAGAUUAAUAUCACGUGAUAUAAAACAUUUACCGAGAUUAAUAUCACGUGAUAUAAAACAUUUACCGAGAUUAAUAUCACAUGAUAUAAAACCUCUAUAAACAAAAUCUGGUUAAAGAGAAAAAAAACAAGAGGAUGACAAAAAGACAGCAAUCUGUUCACUGUUUAGCAAUCAAAGACAAAAACUCAUGAAAAUGGUAAUUGACCAAAUGUUGACCUUGACUUAGUUAUCUGACAAAAUAUAUAGAUAUAUUCAAUUGGUUGAACAUUUAUAAGGUUGUUUCAUGGGAGGGACAUACAGAUCCUUCUUUAAUCAAUCAAUUGAGGACCACAACUCUGAUCUACAAAAGUAAAAAUGUCAAUGUUUGACAACUUUUACAUGCAUGUAUUUAAUUUGCCAUCAGAAACAAACAAAAAAUGUGUCUGAACAUGAGCGGCUGGUGGUUCUGAAGUUAAUCCCAUCAAAAACAGCAUAAAUAACCAUUUUCAUAACAAACAAGGACCAACAAAAACUACUGAAUGGCAAUAACAUUCAUAUCAAAAAAAAAUAUUUAAAGGUUUAAACAAUUAUCUAGGAAUUGCAGGAAGGAACAUAAAGCACCAUUUUUCAAUCAGUCGAGGAAGAUAACUCCUGUCAUACAAAAAUGAAAAUGUCAAUAACAAACUUAAUUUUGUCAUACAUGUAAGUAACAACAUAUCAUUGAAAAUUUUUAGAUUGUUUGAAAGUUUUUAAAUUCACUCAACUACAAAGACAUCAAGCCCCAUUUUCCAAUCAAUCAAAGACCAUUUCUACUGAAAGCUGUCAAUCUAAAAAAAAUCUACUUAAAUUAGAAAAAUUAGAAAAACAGGUUGGUUUUACUGUUUUAAAUGUAUUACACAGAUAUGACAUAAAUCACUCAACAUCAUUACAGUAAAUGAUGUACUAACUUGGGGUUUUGGAACUUGCGUCAGAUGUUCAGACUCCUUGAUUUUUUUUCCAUAUGAUAAAAGGUAAAAUGUUUUGCACCAUAACACACAUUUAUCUUUUCAUACAAGACUUAUAAUUGCUCAUAAAAGGUCUUUCACCAAAUUAAAGCAGAUUCUUGAUUUCUUUUCUUUUGAUUUAAUCAUGAGACCCAAAUAAUACCAAUGGAAUAUAAGGUAAAAGUCUCAGUCAGCCAUUCCCAGCACUUUUCUAAAAUAAAAAAUAUCUCGAAAAGAAGCUCCAUGACCUAUCAAUAUUUUUAGCUUAUUUUGUUCCUUCACUAAUGUUCUUCCGACUUUAAAGUAUCAAUUUCAAAUUCUUGAUUUUUUUACUUUCACCUAAGUGAAAUCCUUAAGCUUAAGUACAAAUGAACUGCAAAGAAAAUCCUUUAUAUUGAUAUUGGCCUCAAUCUUGUCAUAAAAAAAAUACAUAUUUUAUCUUUAAAUGAAAUUCGAUCAGUUGUCCUCAGGUAAUCCCAUUAAUUGACAUAAUUCACAGAUGGCACCACCAUCAAUCAAUAAAGGACAAUAACUCCCAGAAAGUAAAAGUGCAAAAUCUAAUUAAAUUUUGUUGUUUGUCAUUAGACAUUGUCACUAGAUUCAAAUCAGAACAUUUGAAGUGGAAAAAUUUGUUCUGAUGUUAUUGCAGGGUAACAGUUGGAGCUGCCCACCAUAAACUAUCUCAAAUCAAUCAUCAUCAUCAUUUUCAUGUCAAAUAUGAAGUUAUAGCUUUUUGAUAAAUCUACCUUUACCAAAGUUUGUUUUAAAAAAAACAAAAUACCAAUAAUUGUCUCUAUACAUCUUACAGUACAUUUUAUACAGCUGUAUACCAAAUCUUAAAUCUAAUUUAACAAUAUUUGAUCAUAGUUUGCCUAGAUACAAAAUAAUGUUCAUUUAAAA
RNAcentral lists this long non-coding RNA (1936 nucleotides) under Mytilus galloprovincialis (Mediterranean mussel). The record is from RNAcentral. Lineage: Eukaryota; Metazoa; Mollusca; Bivalvia; Mytilida; Mytilidae.